Molecule: long non-coding RNA, 248 nt
Filed under: Elaeis guineensis (African oil palm)
Lineage: Eukaryota; Viridiplantae; Streptophyta; Magnoliopsida; Arecales; Arecaceae
Description: long non-coding RNA (EGUI_LNC004546)
Source: RNAcentral
UGGAUGUCAGCUGGUCUUGAUAGGACUAACCUUCUAUGAGUGGGAGAAAGCUACCAACACUGUCUGUCAUCCGAUCGUGAUAUCCCAUACAUCAAAGAUCUUUUAGAGUCUCGAUGUGGCUCACGGAGGAUUGAGAUAGAGAUCGAGUGAGAUCAGUGGUUGCCCGACGAUGCAAAUCUUACCGAUAUGCCAACCUUCCAUGAGUGGUCAGGUAAGAGCCGAGGUUUGUGGAGUUUUUGAGAUGCCAC